Meleagris gallopavo (turkey) is the source of this 4727-nucleotide non-coding RNA. Lineage: Eukaryota; Metazoa; Chordata; Aves; Galliformes; Phasianidae. The record is from RefSeq and is a predicted model, not a curated record.
ACAUUGGUCAGUUUAGUAUUUAUAUGUAAUAUUAAUACUUACAUCUAGCACAAAGGUGAUGGCAUGCUUAUGGAUUCUUGUGAGCUUUCUUUCUCACUGUCUGUAUUACUUUCAAGAGAUCGGGCUGCAUUUUAAAGGUAAAGUAAGCUAGAAUUUCCUUAAUGAGGUUGUUUUCAUGAAUUUAUGGAGGUGAAAAUAAAUUUCCUCAGUCUUUUGGAAUUUUAAUUUCCUCAGUGAUACAAUAAUUCCUGUGGUGUAUCUAGGACUUUGGAUUGUUUGUGAUGCUGCUUCUGGUGCCAUUGCUCUGCUGAGGUUUACCUUGUGGGAUUAACAGUCAUGAACUGUUGUUUAUUAUGUUUUAUUUUGCAUGCAUAAUUGACUGUGGGACAGGAAACAACUGUGUCUAAGUAUCAUCAAAGGGAAGAGAGUAUAAUUGCAUGUCCAGUUUGUUCUCUUUCUCAAAAAGGAAGAAAAAAAAGAGAGCUGCACCUGUGACAAACUGGUAGCUUUGUAAAUAGAAUAAUUUUUGAAAGAGAUAACGUCUACUGGAAAUUGUGCUUUAAGUUCUAUCUCACUGUCCCCCAAGCUUUCUAAUCACAUAGUUAGUUUGUAAGUCUAGAUGUAUGUUUUGUGAGAGGCCAGCUACUGCCAAACAGUAUAUAUGGAAACUGACUUGUACCUCUCUUUUCCUUUAUCCGAAAGCACAAAUUUUUGUAUUUGUCUCUGUUUCCUGCCUGUGAGUAGCACAGGUUUAUCUUCAACUAACUUUGAUAAGGGGAUGGAUGCUGCCUAAUGAAUUAAAACAAUAAUUGAGGGGAAGGAGUAUAAAGAACAGCUUCUCAGUUUACGUAGAAGCAGAAGAUCUGCUUUUCACUAAUCACUUUGUCAGUUUGUCCUGUUGACUUUUGAAAAGCUGUAUUUCAGAAAACUCAGCAGAAGUUCUGCUGUUGAAACUGGAAAAUGUACCACACACAUGGUGGGAAGAGGGUAGAAGCCUGAAGUAACCUCAUAUUAAAGAUGAUGAGCCUUUCACUUUCUGAAUGGAGGUCUUCAGUUUCUUUUGUAGUGAAAAUAUGCAACUGCAGCCAAACAACAUGAAUAUGUAUGAAAACUUCAUAGUAGUUAUGUGUUUGUAAUUGCAGUUCAGCGGUGAAGAAGGAAUGCGUUGUAGUAAACUUUGUGAAGAUGACUUCUUCCCCUUCCCACUCUGGUUAUGACUGACCUCAAUUUCCACAUUGUUGCAGCAAAUUUAAUUUGGAACUUUCCAUCAGAACAAACCUUUCUGUCACAACCUCUGUUGCUGUCUUAGGAUGGCUUUUAUAGAAGGAAGGAAAAUUGCUCAUAAAAGCUAUUCUAAAAACAUUACAUAGUAAAUAUUGAUCCAAGACAAGCUUUCUAAUACAAACAGUAUUGUAUAAAAAAAAAAUGCUUUCAGAAGUCUUUUGUGUCUGGAACUUAAAAGGAGGAACUAAUCCUGAUUCAAAUUUUCUUACAGCUUUUUCUUUGUAAUGAGGUAAAGAAAGACAAGAUUUAAAAAGUUGUCCUAGUUCAUCUUAGGCAUAUACAUGUCUUUAUAUUAUGAGUUUAUUUGGAGCAAUGACAUGCAGCUUUUUGCAUGUCUUUUUCAUAAUACCAUCAAACAUGAAAUGUCUUAAAUAAGAAGUGAAUAGAUUUUCUGGGAGUUUCAGCUACAGUAACAAAGUUCUCAUGUGAUAAAACCUUUGCUGCCCACCUAAUGUGUUUUUUGUUAGUAGUCUGAGGUUUCUACUCUUCGGCAGAAGCUGUAGUGCAGAAAGAUGCUAUGACGUCCUUUGUGCCCAUGCCACAACUGACUUCCAUCCCUGUACUCACCAUAUGUUGACCUCAUGCCAGCUCUUACAUGUUCCUAAGUAUAAGAAUAAAUGCAGCUGGCUGAGGAUAAAGUAAGAAUAAUCUGUGCUCUGUACAUUUUUUUCUGUCCAAGAAGUGAAAAGGGGGGAGAGGAAAGUAGAAAUACUAGUGUAGCUAAGCAGGGACGAAGAAGUAAGCUCUUUGCUACUCCACUGUUGUUGCCUAGUAUGUCAGAUACCUUUAGUAAGUGUAUGUGCUGCUGUGGGGUCAGAAAUCUAAUUGAUGAUCGCUUAAGCGGCCCAUAUAGAUGCUUCUGUGUCAGUAUGUAGGAUGUGAAAAUAUGUUAUUUUUCUUCUAUCGUUGCGGAACAGAGGAAACCAUUUAUUCUGCCAUUGUAAGAUGCAUGUUUAAUAUCUCUCUUAUUCUGGUUUUGAAACUGUAGGAUGUUUUGGAUCUACUUUAACAAAUUUUACCACAGACCUCAACAGUGAAGGAAUGACAACAAUUGAAAGAAACCAUUUCCUUGUAGAGUGCCUAACACUUCUUACUCAAUGUUUUUGGCAAUGUGUCUAUUUUUAAACAAAUGGAUGCGGUAAAACCAUGAAAAAUGUUGAGAAGGUUACUUUUUUUUUGUGCAGGCUAUUUGAAACUAGUAGUGGGCUGAUUAUCCAAAUCCUGAUUUAAAAAAAAAUAAAUCACAAAGUAAUUGUGGCAGUGUAAAUUUUUUUAAAAUCAACUUCAGCCUUUAGCACUGUGCACAUCCACUGCAGUAGCUGUAGUGCUAAUGCAUAGAGCUUGGGGAUCAAUCCCAGUGAAGAUUUUCGGUUUCAACUUUCUAACCAAGAAACUACUUGGCGCUUGUCUUAAAGAUGUUAAAAAUCCAAACCAUGCUCCUGAACUGCACCAAACAAGGGGUGUAGUAGAUGCAGUAGACCUGCCCAGCAGUGAUGGACAUAGAGACUUAGCAGAAUUUUUGUGUUUCUUGACUAAGUAUGUUUGUUCCUGAAAGAGACAUAAUUAUUUUUCAUGUUAUAGAGAGACGAUUCUACUGUUGAAGAACAAUAAAUCUAAUGGUAUACAUAACAGUUCGAAAACAUAUAUGACAUUUUAGGUAAAUUGUAGGAUACGCUUUUGUUUAGCCUUUGGAACAACAAGUAGCUACUAUCCCAUAUUUGAAUGCUGCAACUUAGGCUUUUUGUAAGCAUGCUCAGCAGUAUAGUUCAGCUUUGGAUUGCUCAGAUUUUUUAUGGAGGUGAGAUGCAUUCAGGCAAAUAAGAGGCAUAUGUUUUUCUUCCUGUUCUGCAGUGGAGCAUAUACGUGGUUAAUGUUUGAUAUGAUAGAACUUUAGUAAUCAGACACUUGUAGGAAAAAAAAUUAGCUAGUCCUUGAUGUUAAAACACUGUACGCAAAAAAGCAAAGCAGAUUUUGGUAUCUUCAGUUUUGAGAGCUUUGAGUUUCUUUUAUGUCCAUCUUCAUAUUCUUGUUGCAGCUUGUAUUGCAAAUCAACUUUUCCCCUGACCUUGUUUGAAUGCUGGUUUUAUUAGGGUGGGAUAUCAUCCAUGUUAAAAUUACUCUUACCUCUCCCAUUCAUACAGACUUCUUAUUGUUUCUUAAGACUCUUAUAAAUAUGAGGCAAAGUAAGCCAUACAGUGUGCAAUUUCAGAAAGGAGAGUUUCUAGCUCGACGAAUUGUGCAGCUUUCUUAUCAAAAAGACAAAGACAGUACGAGUAAAUUAACCAUGCAGUUUCACUGAUCAGCAAAAGUGGCCACAACUGAUUGUGGGAGAGAGUCUUUUUCUUUUGUAUGGAUAAUUUUUCUCCUUCUGUUCAAGUACUCUCUAGAAAUCUCUUUGGUACAGAUUUUUAAGGCAUGAGUGGCGAAAGAGAUAAAAGACAAUAUUUAUUUCCACUAAAAGAGCUCUUCUGAUUAUUACCUACUCUAGGUAUAGUUCCAGAAAUUUCCAUUAUUUCCCUGUUACUCUGAAGAACUUACUUAAUUUCAGCAUCCAGGAAUUGGGAUGAUAGAAAUCAUUCCUUAUUAAAUGGGGGGAAAGGAUGGGAAAAACUCCAAGCUACAACCUUCUGAGAAAAAUCAGAGGAAACAACAUCUCGAGUUUUUAUUGACACAUCAAACAUAAAAGCUGUGUUUGUUGAAUAAAUAUAUAGAUGAUGCAUCAUCCAUGUAUUAAAAAAAUCCUAGUAAGAGAAGCUUAGUAUUGUAAUCUUCAGUUUGCUUUUUAAGAUUUUAGGGAAAAAGCUGCAUUUGCUAGCUGUUUUGCACCAAAAAGUCAGUGUUGAGAGACUAUUGACUAGAUAUCAGGACAAAUAGAGAACUCAAGUGAGCCUGCAUUUUCAACAUUGCCAAUGCAAGGCAUCAUAUAAACAUGAAUUUUAAUUGUACUAAAGAAAAAUAGUUGCAUUAAAGUCAAGAGCUUAUGUGGAGGAGAGUACUAACGAAACAAUAUCUAGAUUCUAAAGUUCAACUGCGUUUUGUCUAAAUACCUCUUGCUUAGUUAUUCAGUGUAGUUUUGCCAGUAAUAACAUCAAAUUUAACAGAUUUGCAAGUUUUGUAUUUUUCUUACAAUUCUAAUUAAGCAUUUGCAGAAGAGACAUGCUAUUUUCUAUUCAUUUUUAUAAGAUUAUGUUUAGCAGGAAUAAAAAACAAAUUGUUUCAGAAUAAGUUGGAAAACAGUUAUGUGGAUGUUUUAAUUUUUAGCAAUUGCUUUUACCUUCAGCUGGAGUGGUCUUGCAUGUUUUAUUUCCUAUUAUUUUUUCCAGUUUCAUACUCCAAAAAUUUGAACUUAAGCUGGGAAAAUGAGAACGGCACUACUUAAUGGAAACCUUACAUAUCUGAGCUUUGAGAAGAUAUCUUUGCACCAACAUGGAGAGAAUCUAAAA